Molecule: long non-coding RNA, 350 nt
Filed under: Cricetulus griseus (Chinese hamster)
Lineage: Eukaryota; Metazoa; Chordata; Mammalia; Rodentia; Cricetidae
Description: lncRNA (ENSCGRG00000026066.1)
Source: RNAcentral
GGGGCGGUUACCAGUUUUCAAAAAUGUCUUCCAUUUCUGGAACUCAGAGAGAACAGAGAUUCACACUGCAGGCUACACAGGUAUUAAUCCAUCUUGGAGAUGACUCAGCCAAUAGAGUGCCACAUGCAUGCAGACCUGAGUCCAGAGCCCCAAUACCCAUGCAAACAACGAGGCCUGGCAGUGCAAGUGGUAACCCCAGAGAUGCAGAUUACAGGCACAAGCUUCCUGUGCAAAACCAGCAAGACCAGCAAAACCUUGAAGCCUGUUGGCCAGUCAGCCUGACUGAACCUAUGAACUUCAGGUCCGGUGAGAGACCCUGCCUCAAAAAAUAAACAUGGAGAAUGAUCAAG